This 429-nucleotide ribosomal RNA is filed under the name bacterium. Its description in RNAcentral is "partial 16S ribosomal RNA". It matches the Rfam family "Bacterial small subunit ribosomal RNA", at positions 355 to 776 of the family's 1533-position model. The record is from RNAcentral.
UAGGGAAUCUUCCACAAUGGACGCAAGUCUGAUGGAGCAACGCCGCGUGAGUGAAGAAGGUUUUCGGAUCGUAAAGCUCUGUUGUUGGUGAAGAAGGAUAGAGGUAGUAACUGGCCUUUAUUUGACGGUAAUCAACCAGAAAGUCACGGCUAACUACGUGCCAGCAGCCGCGGUAAUACGUAGGUGGCAAGCGUUGUCCGGAUUUAUUGGGCGUAAAGCGAGCGCAGGCGGAAGAAUAAGUCUGAUGUGAAAGCCCUCGGCUUAACCGAGGAACUGCAUCGGAAACUGUUUGUCUUGAGUGCAGAAGAGGAGAGUGGAAUUCCAUGUGUAGCGGUGGAAUGCGUAGAUAUAUGGAAGAACACCAGUGGCGAAGGCGACUCUCUGGUCUGCAACUGACGCUGAGGCUCGAAAGCAUGGGUAGCGAACAGG